CCUACGGGUGGCAGCAGUCGAGAAUCAUUCACAAUGGGGGAAACCCUGAUCGUGCGACGCCGCGUGGGGGAAUGAAGGUCUUCGGAUUGUAAACUCCUGUCAUGUGGGAGCAAAUUAAAAAGAUAGUACCACAAGAGGAAGAGACGGCUAACUCUGUGCCAGCAGCCGCGGUAAUACAGAGGUCUCAAGCGUUGUUCGGAAUCACUGGGCGUAAAGGGUGCGUAGGCUGUUUCGUAAGUCGUGUGUGAAAGGCGCGGGCUCAAACCGCGGAAGGCACAUGAUACUGCGAGACUAGAGUAAUGGAGGGGGAAGCGGAAUUCUCGGUGUAGCAGUGAAAUGCGUAGAUAUCGAGAGGAACACU
This 361-nucleotide ribosomal RNA is filed under the name uncultured bacterium. Its description in RNAcentral is "partial 16S ribosomal RNA". It matches the Rfam family "Bacterial small subunit ribosomal RNA", at positions 338 to 710 of the family's 1533-position model. The record is from RNAcentral.